RNAcentral lists this long non-coding RNA (200 nucleotides) under Phoenix dactylifera (date palm). RNAcentral's name for it is "long non-coding RNA (PDAC_LNC011203)". The record is from RNAcentral. Lineage: Eukaryota; Viridiplantae; Streptophyta; Magnoliopsida; Arecales; Arecaceae.
AUUAGGUGAUACGAUGGGGGCUGAUCGUUUGAAGUGCGGAGAACGAGCUGAUUGGGCUACUUGCAUAAAUAAAACAUUAAUUAGUUAAUUUUAUUAUUAAUGAUUAGCUAAAAUAUUAAUUUAGAUGGUCUGACGAUUGCAUUUUUGUGCUCUUAUCACACCCCCCAACCAGCUUAUUGCUAGUCUCUAGCAAUUUGGUG